GUCUCGCGAGAUGCAGAUGAAUUAGGGGCGCCGGCUUUCAUGCCAAGCGGGAAGGCCGGCUCGUCGCCAAUCGUCCGAUUUCAAAAACACCUGAAUUCACUGAUCCAAAACCCCAGACAGCCAGCCCGAGCCCGCGCUCCUCCAGGGUCACAUCGAACCGCUGCCAGUACAGAUCUGUCAGUGUAACGCAACUGAUUUAUUGACAAUUUCGAAGCCAUUUAGACGCCGCCCGCUGCCUCACGCAUUAUCAUAAAAUACAGACUGGAUACCCGAUCUUUUACCUUCGCCGCGCAGGCUGUGCCCCCCUCCCCCCACCGGACACACGUGUGGGAGCGGGGCCGCCUCUUCCGGGACGCCGAAGGGAACGCCGCUUCCCGCCGCGCAUGCGCCGCGCUAGGUGUUCUGGGAGCUGUAGUUCCGCCCGGCGCUGCCGUGCGCAGGGAGGGCAGGGGCAGGGGCAGGGGCAGGGGGUGAGCAGCCGCUCCGUCACCAGGUGCACGCCCAUCGCGACCGCUCCAUGCAGGAGCGCCAGCCUAGGUCCCGGGUGGCACGUGGGAUCAGGGAGGAGUACAGACUCUGCCACCGGGGUCCGUCGGCCUCGCCCUUGCCGGUGGUGCCCUGCCACUUGGUGUCCAGGCGGGCAACAUGAUGGAGCACGUCGAGCUGAAGCCUUGCCCAGUCGGAGGAGUGGAUUUGUUCGGACUGCCUCACCAGCCUGAGGAGCUCUUCCCCACAGACGCUCGGGGAGUUUUGGGGACUCGCUGCCCUGGGCAGGUGGCCUCUGGCAAGGCUUCUCCACACAGCUGUGAGGACUUGGACAAAAGGGUCAGGAGAUCAAGCAUUGGUGGUUCAAUGCUAGACUUCCUGCCUUCUACGCAGAAGACCUGGGUUCAAUUCCCAGCCAGUGCAGCGGCUACAGGUGAAUGUUUUGCAGACCUGAACAACCUAAUGUGGUCCUCAACAAAGAUGUUUGUUGGUAGCUCUCACUGAUCUCUUGAGUUUAAAAACUAAUAAAACAGAUCCUCCAAUGCCAAGUUGGCAAAGUAGAUCAGCA
Long non-coding RNA from Alligator mississippiensis (American alligator), 1054 nucleotides. RefSeq lists it as uncharacterized. The transcript is spliced from 2 exons. The record is from RefSeq and is a predicted model, not a curated record. Lineage: Eukaryota; Metazoa; Chordata; Crocodylia; Alligatoridae.